RNAcentral lists this ribosomal RNA (460 nucleotides) under uncultured bacterium. Its description in RNAcentral is "partial 16S ribosomal RNA". It matches the Rfam family "Bacterial small subunit ribosomal RNA", at positions 338 to 795 of the family's 1533-position model. The record is from RNAcentral.
CCUACGGGAGGCAGCAGUGAGGAAUAUUGGUCAAUGGGCUUACGCCUGAACCAGCCAAGUCGCGUGAGGGAAGACUGCCCUAUGGGUUGUAAACCUCUUUUGUCAGGGAGCAAUUGGCGCUACGUGUAGCGUUAUCGAGAGUACCUGAAGAAACAGCAUCGGCUAACUCCGUGCCAGCAGCCGCGGUAAUACGUAGGAUGCGAGCGUUAUCCGGAUUUAUUUGGUUAAAAGGGUGCGUAGGCGGAAUGCAAUGUCAGCGGUAAAGUCGCGGGGCUCAACCGCGCUCCGCCGUUGAAACUGGCGUUCUUGAGUGGGCGAGAGGUAUGCGGAAUGCGAGGUGUAGCGGUGAAAUGCAUAGAUAUCACGCAGAACUCCGAUUGCGAAGGCAGCAUACCGGCGCCCAACUGACGCUGAAGCACGAAAGCGUGGGUAUCGAACAGGAUUAGAUACCCGGGUAGUC